RNAcentral lists this ribosomal RNA (327 nucleotides) under uncultured eukaryote. Its description in RNAcentral is "partial 18S ribosomal RNA". It matches the Rfam family "Eukaryotic small subunit ribosomal RNA", at positions 1470 to 1796 of the family's 1831-position model. The record is from RNAcentral.
CCCUUAGAUGUUCUGGGCCGCACGCGCGCUACACUGACGAAUGCAACGAGCUUAUAACCUUGGCCGAAAGGUCUGGGUAAUCUCCAAAUUUCGUCGUGAUGGGGAUAGAUUAUUGCAAUUAUUAAUCUUCAACGAGGAAUGCCUAGUAAGCGCAAGUCAUCAGCUUGCGUUGAUUACGUCCCUGCCCUUUGUACACACCGCCCGUCGCUCCUACCGAUUGAAUGGUCCGGUGAAGCGUUCGGACCGUGGCCUUUGGACGGUUCGCCGUCUGUUGGCUGCAGGAAGUUCGUUAAACCUUAUCAUUUAGAGGAAGGAGAAGUCGUANCA